GAUGAACGCUGGCGGCGUGCCUAAUACAUGCAAGUCGAGCGAACAGACGAGGAGCUUUCUCCUCUGACAUUAUCGGCGGACGGGUGAGUAACACGUGGAUAACCUACCUAUAAGACUGGGAUAACUGCGGGAAACCGGUGCUAAUACCGGAUAAUAUAUUGAACCGCAUGGUUCAAUAGUGAAAGACGGUUUUGCUGUCACUUAUAGAUGGAUCCGCGCCGCAUUAGCUAGUUGGUAAGGUAACGGCUUACCAAGGCAACGAUGCGUAGCCGAUCUGAGAGGGUGAUUGGCCAGACUGGAAGUGAGACACAGUCCAGACGCCUACGGGAGGAAGCAGUAGGGAAUCUUCCGCGAUGGGCGAAUGCCUGACGGAGCAACGUCGCCGGAGUGAUGAAGGUCUUCGGAUGGUAAAACUCUGUUAUUAGUGAAGAACAAAUGUGUAAGUAACUAUGCACGUCUUGACGGUAACUAAUCAGAAAGCCACGGCUAACUACGUG
RNAcentral lists this ribosomal RNA (497 nucleotides) under uncultured bacterium. Its description in RNAcentral is "partial 16S ribosomal RNA". It matches the Rfam family "Bacterial small subunit ribosomal RNA", at positions 28 to 507 of the family's 1533-position model. The record is from RNAcentral.